RNAcentral lists this ribosomal RNA (208 nucleotides) under uncultured bacterium. RNAcentral's name for it is "partial 16S ribosomal RNA". It matches the Rfam family "Bacterial small subunit ribosomal RNA", at positions 568 to 774 of the family's 1533-position model. The record is from RNAcentral.
CGUGUAGGCGGUUGGGUAAGUCAGAUGUGAAAGCCCUGGGCUCAACCCAGGAAGUGCAUUUGAAACUACCCAACUUGAGUACGGGAGAGGAAGGGGGAAUUCCCGGUGUAGAGGUGAAAUUCGUAGAUAUCGGGAGGAAUACCGGUGGCGAAGGCGCCCUUCUGGACUGAUACUGACGCUGAGACGCGAAAGCGGUGGGGAGCAAACA